UAGAGUUUGAUCCUGGCUCAGAUUGAACGCUGGCGGCAGGCCUAACACAUGCAAGUCGAGCGGUAGAGAGAAGCUUGCUUCUCUUGAGAGCGGCGGACGGGUGAGUAAAGCCUAGGAAUCUGCCUGGUAGUGGGGGAUAACGUUCGGAAACGGACGCUAAUACCGCAUACGUCCUACGGGAGGAAGCAGGGGACCUUCGGGCCUUGCGCUAUCAGAUGAGCCUAGGUCGGAUUAGCUAGUUGGUGAGGUAAUGGCUCACCAAGGCGACGAUCCGUAACUGGUCUGAGAGGAUGAUCAGUCACACUGGAACUGAGACACGGUCCAGACUCCUACGGGAGGCAGCAGUGGGGAAUAUUGGACAAUGGGCGAAAGCCCGAUCCAGCCAUGCCGCGUGUGUGAAGAAGGUCUUCGGAUUGUAAAGCACUUUAAGUUGGGAGGAAGGGCAUUAACCUAAUACGUUAGUGUUUUGACGUUACCGACAGAAUAAGCACCGGCUAACUCUGUGCCAGCAGCCGCGGUAAUA
Molecule: ribosomal RNA, 523 nt
Filed under: uncultured Pseudomonas sp.
Lineage: Bacteria; Pseudomonadati; Pseudomonadota; Gammaproteobacteria; Pseudomonadales; Pseudomonadaceae
Description: bacterial SSU rRNA
Rfam family: Bacterial small subunit ribosomal RNA
Source: RNAcentral